This is a long non-coding RNA of Anas platyrhynchos (mallard), 718 nucleotides long. RefSeq lists it as uncharacterized. NCBI's taxonomy places the organism in Eukaryota, Metazoa, Chordata, Aves, Anseriformes, Anatidae. The record is from RefSeq and is a predicted model, not a curated record.
AUUUUACAGGUGUCAAAUGGGUGCUAUGAAGGAUACAUAAAGAGCAAGGUCAUGUCUCCCAGUGGAUUCUGUCCUGGUAUGAAAUGUGACGUAAUCUGAAUGAGAGAAAACCAAUAGAAAAGCAGCUUGGGAAGCUACAGAAAUGAAGAGCUUGGCUGAGGCACAUUAUCUUCAGAUGUAGGCAGUUCUGACAUGAUUCUGUAAUCACAGGCCAAUUAAAUCUGCCUUGAUUUACGGUCAGAUUUUCGGUGCAUCAGAAGCUGCAGAAGAAUACUCCUUCCUUCAGGAACAAAUCUUCUGGAAGGAAAAGUAAUGGCGAAAGUCAGGUAGUUCCUGACCAGUUCCUCCCAGGCUGUCAGAAGUUCUUCAGUGAAUAACUAGUCCGUAGAAGAGGACACACUUUCGAACCAUGGGGAUUUGUUAACUGUGCUAGGAAGAGGAACAACGUGGGGACCCGAUGUGGUGCUUCUUCUCCAGGCAUUUCAUGCGUGUGCUUGAUCCAAAAAACAUGGCUGCAGAAACAUGUACUUUAAAUGUCUCUGAAUUAGUCUGAUAAUUCAGCAACUGAACAGCAUGCAAGCAUCUAUGAGGAUGUAACAAUAAGCUCUGGGUUUAAGUCCUGCUGCCUCUUCUCAUCAGCUAUCAGCUGGCUGCUGAGGAUACUCUUCAGCUCCCUAUUUGGGUUGUUUUAUAGUAAUUUUGCUGCAGUUUUUUGUUU